Molecule: ribosomal RNA, 465 nt
Filed under: uncultured bacterium
Lineage: Bacteria
Description: partial 16S ribosomal RNA
Rfam family: Bacterial small subunit ribosomal RNA
Source: RNAcentral
GACGAACGCUGGCGGCGUGCUUAACACAUGCAAGUCGAACGGAAAGGCCCUGCUUGCAGGGUACUCGAGUGGCGAACGGGUGAGUAACACGUGGGUGAUCUGCCCUGCACUUCGGGAUAAGCCUGGGAAACUGGGUCUAAUACCGGAUAGGAGCCAUUUUUAGUGUGAUGGUUGGAAAGUUUUUUCGGUGUAGGAUGAGCUCGCGGCCUAUCAGCUUGUUGGUGGGGUAAUGGCCUACCAAGGCGGCGACGGGUAGCCGGCCUGAGAGGGUGGACGGCCAAAUUGGGACUGGGAUACGGCCCAGACUCCUACGGGAGGCAGCAGGGGGGAAUAUUGCACAAUGGGCGCAAGCCCGAUGCAGCGACGCCGCGUGGGGGAUGACGGCCUUCGGGUUGUAAACUCCUUUCGCUAGGGACGAAGCUUUUUGUGACGGUACCUAGAUAAGAAGCACCGGCUAACUACGUG